UUAUUAAGAAAAAGGGGAAUU
This 21-nucleotide non-coding RNA is filed under the name Caenorhabditis elegans. Lineage: Eukaryota; Metazoa; Nematoda; Chromadorea; Rhabditida; Rhabditidae. The record is from RNAcentral.